RNAcentral lists this non-coding RNA (27 nucleotides) under Mus musculus (house mouse). Lineage: Eukaryota; Metazoa; Chordata; Mammalia; Rodentia; Muridae. The record is from RNAcentral.
UGAGCCUGUUGGAUGAGGAACGUAACU